RNAcentral lists this ribosomal RNA (497 nucleotides) under uncultured bacterium. Its description in RNAcentral is "partial 16S ribosomal RNA". It matches the Rfam family "Bacterial small subunit ribosomal RNA", at positions 28 to 507 of the family's 1533-position model. The record is from RNAcentral.
GAUGAACGCUGGCGGCGUGCCUAAUACAUGCAAGUCGAGCGAACGGACGAGAAGCUUGCUUCUCUGAUGUUAGCGGCGGACGGGUGAGUAACACGUGGAUAACCUACCUAUAAGACUGGGAUAACUUCGGGAAACCGGAGCUAAUACCGGAUAAUAUUUUGAACCGCAUGGUUCAAAAGUGAAAGACGGUCCUGCUGUCACUUAUAGAUGGAUCCGCGCUGCAUUAGCUAGUUGGUAAGGUAACGGCUUACCAAGGCAACGAUGCAUAGCCGACCUGAGAGGGUGAUCGGCCACACUGGAACUGAGACACGGUCCAGACUCCUACGGGAGGCAGCAGUAGGGAAUCUUCCGCAAUGGGCGAAAGCCUGACGGAGCAACGCCGCGUGAGUGAUGAAGGUCUUCGGAUCGUAAAACUCUGUUAUUAGGGAAGAACAUAUGUGUAAGUAACUGUGCGCAUCUUGACGGUACCUAAUCAGAAAGCCACGGCUAACUACGUG